AAACCAACAGGGAUUGCCUUAGUAGCGGCGAGUGAAGCGGCAAAAGCUCAAAUUUGAAAUCUGGCGUCUUCGGCGUCCGAGUUGUAAUUUGAAGAAGGUAUCUUUGGGGCCGGCGUUUGUCUAUGUUCCUUGGAACAGGACGUCACAGAGGGUGAGAAUCCCGUGCGACGAGCAGCCCGGUUCUAUGUAAAGUUCCUUCGAAGAGUCGAGUUGUUUGGGAAUGCAGCUCUAAGUGGGUGGUAAAUUCCAUCUAAAGCUAAAUAUUGGCGAGAGACCGAUAGCGAACAAGUACAGUGAUGGAAAGAUGAAAAGAACUUUGAAAAGAGAGUGAAAAAGUACGUGAAAUUGUUGAAAGGGAAGGGCUUGAGAUCAGACUUGGUAUUUUGGAUGCUUUUGCCUUUGGGCGGAAGCCACUGCAGCUUACCGGGCCAGCAUCGGUUUGGGUGGAAGGAUAAUUGCGUAGGAAAGUGGCACUUCGGUGUGUUAUAGCCUGCGUCGAUACUUCCUGCCUAGACCGAGGACUGCGUCUUUUGACUAGGAUGCUGGCAUAAUGAUCCUAAGCCGC
Molecule: ribosomal RNA, 565 nt
Filed under: Spathaspora allomyrinae
Lineage: Eukaryota; Fungi; Ascomycota; Pichiomycetes; Serinales; Debaryomycetaceae
Description: eukaryotic LSU rRNA
Rfam family: Eukaryotic large subunit ribosomal RNA
Source: RNAcentral